AGUGAACGCUGGCGGUAGGCCUAACACAUGCAAGUCGAACGGCAGCACAGUAAGAGCUUGCUCUUACGGGUGGCGAGUGGCGGACGGGUGAGGAAUACAUCGGAAUCUACUUUUUCGUGGGGGAUAACGUAGGGAAACUUACGCUAAUACCGCAUACGACCUACGGGUGAAAGCAGGGGAUCUUCGGACCUUGCGCGAUUGAAUGAGCCGAUGUCGGAUUAGCUAGUUGGCGGGGUAAAGGCCCACCAAGGCGACGAUCCGUAGCUGGUCUGAGAGGAUGAUCAGCGACACUGGAACUGAGCCACGGUCCAGACUCCUACGGGAGGCAGCAGUGGGGAAUAUUGGACAAUGGGCGCAAGCCUGAUCCAGCCAUACCGCGUGGGUGAAGAAGGCCUUCGGGUUGUAAAGCCCUUUUGUUGGGAAAGAAAAGCAGCAGGUUAAUACCCCGCUGUUCUGACGGUACCCAAAGAAUAAGCACCGGCUAACUUCGUG
Molecule: ribosomal RNA, 492 nt
Filed under: uncultured bacterium
Lineage: Bacteria
Description: partial 16S ribosomal RNA
Rfam family: Bacterial small subunit ribosomal RNA
Source: RNAcentral